GCAAUGGGGUUAACUCUGGGUUUCAAAGACCAUCCCAGUCUACUUGUGUCGCUUUGGCCUGGUCUACACAAUGCUGAGAGGAAAGAUCAGGCCAGUGAAACUUCAGCUCAGUCUAU
Non-coding RNA from Pseudonaja textilis, 116 nucleotides. NCBI's taxonomy places the organism in Eukaryota, Metazoa, Chordata, Lepidosauria, Squamata, Elapidae. The record is from RefSeq and is a predicted model, not a curated record.